Long non-coding RNA from Gadus macrocephalus (Pacific cod), 154 nucleotides. RefSeq lists it as uncharacterized. The transcript has 2 exons. The record is from RefSeq and is a predicted model, not a curated record. Lineage: Eukaryota; Metazoa; Chordata; Actinopteri; Gadiformes; Gadidae.
AUAAAAACAGAUGCCUUACCAUCGGAUCAUGAUGAUGAAGGCCAGCUUAGGCUCAGCGGGGAGUGCGAGCUAGGCGGACUUCACGUCUGAGCAGUCUUGUGGUACACCACGGCACGCUUCUAGACGAGCUUCCUGGUCACCUUGAAAGACUAAC